Brienomyrus brachyistius is the source of this 6263-nucleotide long non-coding RNA. RefSeq lists it as uncharacterized. Lineage: Eukaryota; Metazoa; Chordata; Actinopteri; Osteoglossiformes; Mormyridae. The transcript is spliced from 5 exons. The record is from RefSeq and is a predicted model, not a curated record.
CAGCUCCGGGGAAAAUGUUCUUUGUGGGAGACAAAGAAAACAAUCAGAUUUUCUGCUGCCAGGGGUGAAAAAGUGCCGUGUCAGCCUGUUUUCCUGCUCCGCAAGCUUCCCCUGUUGCCCAGUGAGGAAGUGGCCGGUCACACUGGGAGUUAUGGCAGUUAUGUCAAAGUUUAGCCUGCGAUACAUGCGGCCAGCUGGUGGUGUGUGUAUGUGUGUCAGGAAGAAAAGAGCCAAUUCGCUCAUUUUGUGAUGCAUUUUCUAGGAGUUGAGUGGUUAAUUUUGGCGUAUCGAUUUUUGGAUUUACUGUUUAUUUUUUUUUGCAGCUGCCCUGUGUGAAUGAAUUGACUGGCACUAAAUAGAUUUUGUUUUGUACCUUCCUUAGGGGUGCAGCACUGCAGUGCUGAAAGCUAUUGUCAAGUGCCAAUCACAGCACAAUGGUAGUAAUAAUUGUUGGACAGACGAAUGUGGUCCUGGUUACUGUCUUGAGCGUUUCACUGUUUUUCGGAGGUGUCUGUUUUGCUGAUGUCAUCGCUCUGAGAUGUGACAGCUGGACUUUUCUGGUCGAGAAGUUAACUGGAGCUCCAUCUAUACCUGCCCCAGAAACUGGAGCUGAAAAUAUGUAACUUGUGUUGAUGCUAGUCUUCUGCAUGUUUUCGGGAAGUUCAGUGUUUCCAGUUGCAGAGCUGGAAACCAGGGCUGAAUGCGAGUGCUAUAGCGCCUCAGUGUCCUCCGUCUCCCUUGCGUGUACCGAACCUCAAAGGCUUCAGUUUAACCAGAUCCUGCGCCAGACCAUUCGACCGCGCUGAACUUGGGCUAGUCACUGUGGGUACGUAAAAAUUACACGGAAUGUCAUCUGAGCCAAAUACAAUAUGUUCAGUCUUCAAACCACUAAUUACCUUUGUCCUUUUUAAACCAAACGACCUCUGCUUUUUCAGCUCUUUCGUUCCUCCAUGCAAACUGCAGACCCAAGGCAUGGUCUUCAGACGCGAGUCAAUCACACCAAUCCAUUGCAGUGAAUUUGUUGCCAUUAAAAUGAUAUUUCAGCCUCUUCCUGUAAGACUUCCAUUGGAUAGCAGUGAAAAAGGCGACCGCCUCGAUCCAACACACUUAUGUGUGAGAACCACCUUUCCUGGGGGGAGACAGGGAUCAGAGGGUAUGGGGUCUACGAAACUCAAACCCAGACAUACUCAAAAACCAAAAGUACUCAAACAUACACAUGUUUCUGAGCACGAGAGAAAAGUGGAGGAAAGCAAUAUGGAUAAUCCCAAUCAUCACCCUGAUAUGGCCAACGACUGGAAACUUGGCAGCUGUGCCACUGUAUUAUGGAAAGAUACUCCUGUAGCAUUUGUAUCUGUGAUCAUGCCAAAACCAAUGUUCAACAGCAGUGUGAGGCAGAUAGCGACGUGAGGCAGAUAGCGACGUGAGGCAGGUAGCGACGUGAGGCAGGUAGCGACUUGAGGCAGGUAGCCACGUGAGGCAGGUAGCGACUUGAGGCUGGUAGCGACGUGAGGCAGAUAGCGACGUGAGGCAGGUAGCGACGUGAGGCAGGUAGCCACGUGAGGCAGGUAGCGACAUGAGGCAGGUAGCGACGUGAGGCAGAUAGCGACGUGAGGCAGGUAGCCACGUGAGGCAGGUAGCAACUUGAGGCAGGUAGCCACGUGAGGCAGGUAGCGACUUGAGGCAGGUAGCCACGUGAGGCAGGUAGCCACGUGAGGCAGGUAGCCACGUGAGGCAGAUAGCGACGUGAGGCAGGUAGCCACGUGAGGCAGGUAGCGACUUGAGGCAGAUAGUGACGUGAGGCAGGUAGCGACGUGAGGCAGUUAGCAAUGCGCUUGCAUAAGUGCUUAUUCACAACAUGGAUUUAAUCAGGCAGCCUCCUCCAUAGACUUUAGCCUUUCGCCCUUAAUGAGACAGGCGGAAGACAUGAAAAGCAAGAUUCCCCCCACACCAUCAGGGAGUUAUGUGUAAAGAAUGAUUAUGCCAGUCAUGGGGGGCUUGACCCGAAAAGUUCCAGGAAAUAUCCUGCUGUUAAUAUCCAGAGUAGAUAAUAAACCGCUUUGGAUGAACAUGUAAGAUAAACAGAUACGUGAUAAUAAAAUUUCAGCUCCGUUACAUCUACUGUACUAUGGUAUUUGAGCUGGCCUUAGUGCCUGGGGUAAUUAAUUUUAUCAUGCAGUCAAAAGAACAACACUUGUUGUGAAAGGCAGAAGAUGUAGUGUGCUAUUAUUCUGAUUUAUUGGUUGGAGCGGUUAAUGCUGUCCAAACGCGUUGUCUAAGUACGGUUUGCUUUGGCCCAGUGCAGUGUUGGCUCCCUGAUUUAUACCCAGCCUUCAAACUGGCAGUGAGCUGAGCUCCAUGUCUGCCGGUGCCUGUCUCACUAGCGCCGCCCUGCUGGCCUCCGACAUGUUGCGCUUGGCAGCUCGUCACCUCGCCGCGGUUGCCACUGGUACUGGCUAGCAUUGCCGUUCUUAAACGCUGGCCGGGCCCCUUCUGCCCUGGCCCAGUCAUUAUAAAGGGGCAGCAGUCUUAUACGCAGGAGACAGUGAUAAAUCAGAUCCUGGGGGUUUCGCCAUAUGUCCGUGCUGGCCUGGUAAUAAAGCCAAGCAGAGCGUUAUCUCUGCUGGCAUGAUUUCACAUACUGCAGGCCGCCUCUAAGCUUCUAGACACAUAAAAUACUGAUAAGUCGGCUUAUGAUGUAUGAUCAUGCAUACAUAGCUGUGUUCUUGUAUUCUAGUAUUUUUCUGUAUUCAGUGCAAUAUUUUUUUUCCCUUGCGGAAAUUCAUCUGCAUUACUACAGGCAUGUAACCCAUAAUCACAAAACUCUCAAAAAUAAUGUCACCCGUGUAAUUAUAUUCCUCAAAAUAUGAAGGGACAGCCUGAAAUAGUGAAGAAUCUCCCAGAUUUAAACUGGCUUCCGCUGUCAAACAGUAAGUUGUGUUUAUUGUUUAUUUGUCAGACAUGGUUUGGAAAAUGUCAGACGUGGGUUCUCAGUUCCUGCUUGAUGCUGUGGUCGACGUCUGGGCUUAGUGAAGUCCUCAAUCCAUUCCACCGUCUCCUGUUAGGUCCCGGAGUUCCAGUCAGUGCUCACUGCUCUACAUUAAAUCAAUCGAAUGCUUCUAACGAUUUGCUGCAUCGGGCUCACAGCAAAUUCUGUGGUUGCCCCGUGGCUCUCGUGAUGGCCCACAGAUGUCCAGCUGUGGAUUCUCCGUGUUGGUACUGGCUGGAUGGGCUGUGUUAGUUUGGACCUGUCUCCCUCCUGCCGUGAUCUUUCUUUUUUUGAGUUUACUAUGUGGCAACCACCCUCCCAUUCCUGACCCAGACUUCUUAAUAAUCAUAGAUACUUGGUCCCUGGUAGGGAGUGCUCCCUAUGCCUUCCUCACCUUGCUCUCUGUAGGUGAGAGCAAGCUGGCACGGAAGGGCAAUCACCUCUUGCUGCAGAGAGCUGGGGGCUAAGGGCUUUGCUCGAGGACCUCCAGAUGUGCCAAGGCUAAGCUUGAACUGGUGACCUUCUGCUCCCAGGCACGGGGGCUUUCACCACUGAACCACAUGUUGCCGGCCACGUUUGCUGAAGAAUUAAUGGGUGGAAUAGGAACCUGAUUUUUUCUGGAGGGGAAAUGCGUCUCCUUAAAUGGAGUCAACUGGGAUAAGUAUCACCAAUCAGGUCCAGACUUCCCUAAUGGGAUUUUCAUGGUAUUUUCACUGGUCACUGUUGCCUGGUCCUCAGUACCCAUGCUGCAGUGGUUUGAAAAUCGAGGGUAAUGCUAGUUGCAUGGCCUUGCCUAACACUCCAUUUUGGUGCAGUACGGCUGUACAGUAACUGUUCAGUGAUACAGUGACAAUAUACAGGACCCAAGCUGUAAAAUUGCACUGUGCAACUGUGAACAAUCCUGACAUGUCUUCCGGAAGGACAACAACCGGAACAGCCCUAUCGGUGAACAAACAGUUCUUGAAUGAUGAAGGGAAUGGAUUCUGUGUUUCACUCGUAGAGUCUAGUAUGGAUGAGUGGCUGAUAGUGGGUUUACAGGUUCAGUGGUGAUAAAGCGAUAGCCAGUGAACAAUGAUGAUGGUGCAAACAAUAAAAGUAAAUACAGGCAUACAAAACAGACAUAGAAAAGGAAUCUCCACUAUCUUAUGCAAACACUGAAUCUCCUCUUCUCUCUCAUAUCCUCCUUCCAAUUUCCCUCUUCCUGGUACAACACCUUUUUUUAAAUGUAGUCUAAGGUCCACACCUGAGCACACCCCCCCCAUGUUUACAGGAGGGCACAAUACACCAGGGGGCUCAGUGGUGACCCUCAGUUUUUCAGGCUUAAUUUUUUUGGUGUCACAUGCACCCAAACUGACCCCCUGCAAAUUUCCCAAAUGUGAGAAUCUCAACUGCAUCAUUCCUGGAAGUGGGGGGCUUGGAAAGGUUUUUUUGGGGGGGGGCACUAUAUGGCUCAGUGGGUGCCGGAUAAAUGACUGACCCUGCGCUCAGACCUCGAGCUUUGCACUCGACAGUAUGUGUGUGUGUGUGUGUCUCACAAAGGAUAAAUGCAGAAGGAAGCAUUCCAGUGUACCAGAAUUUAUGUAAAUAGGAAAUGAAAGAAGACCCCAUGUUAAUUAGGAUGUCAUUUAACGAGUUAUGGGAUUGGAAAAGUUCCUUAAAAUGGUGACCUUUUACGUACAGCACGACGGCAGCUAGCAUAGUUGUCAGUGAUACAGACUCAUAAAAAAUGAACAUUGGCAUUUAGAGUCCCAGCAGAAGUUAGUAUCACGUUACCAUGCACAGUUCUAUGUGAUUUUUCUCAUGUGGGAUUAAAUAAAGCAUAUCUGGUAGAGCAGCCUGCGGUAUUUGCGGUAAAGACACAUUAGCGAUAGCUGAAUGCCAGGCCACAGUGCGCCGCCUCGGUUAAACAUGUCCCUGUUCGCUCUGGGGGCUACAUUCCAUCAGCAUCAGAGAGACAUCUGUCUGUCUGUCUGUCUGUAAGUCUGUACGCCCUGGCACCGUUAGCCCCCCCCGGGAUAACCUGACGUGUGGCGUGUACUCAGACACCCCCACUGCGUUGGCCCCACCAUAUUUCAUUAACCGUUACAGUGAAAAAUCUGAGACUUAUGGAAAAAGAAUCGCUUGCCAUGGUGGGCUCAGCUAUGUUUCUGUUCUCUCGGUGUGGUUUUGCUUGCAAAGCUGUUCGUGUAGCCAGAAAUACUUCUAUUCGAUAAUGGUAUCUGUGUACAGGACUGGAGUUUGACACCCCUGGUACAAACCAUUGUUUCCUGGUUUGAGAGAGUAGUUGCAAAAUGAUUCCAUUCUCAGCAGCCAUUUCUCCCUAAUCCCCGGGCCUGUGCGGUUAAGGCAUGACCAGGCUACGCUCUUUGUGCCGCUGCUAACUCUUUGGUACGUCAUGUUCCCACCCCUUGCCCCUUGUUUGAUAUUCCUCCGACCAUUAGGGGGCAUCGGCGAUCUGUGUCACGCACAUGGACUGGCAGGCAUUUCUUUCAGGCUCAAGGAUAGUAGAUUUCUCUUUUUUGGGAACUUUAUUCAUGCUGACUGUGUACUGUGUGACGCCUUUACGUUUAAAAUUAUAAUGGAGGACUGGCUGCAUUCUGUGUUUGGCUUAUUUUAUUUACCCAGCUGGACUGAAAGGAGAGAGUUUUUAAUUCAAAAACACCAGAGGAGAGGAUGUUAGUGGGUGUAUCAGCAGCCGGGGUUAGCAAGGACUUUGGAGUCCUGCGCUGACAGGUCUUACAGAACAGCGAUACCACUCAGGAGGAUCCACAUGUGUGGUUGUCAGCAAACAGGGAGGGUUUAAGGAAACUCUAGUAAGAACAGUCGCAGAAUGAGUAACGAGCAAAGAAACCUUGCGGAAAUGUACCGUCUGAACCCCCAAGUUCAGGAUGGAUCACUGCUUUGCCCGGCACUGCCUCUUCACCAUCAGAGUGGCUGUAUUCUGCAGCUUCAGGGGUCACUAUUGAUUACAUAAACAGUUGAGCAAUCUGACAGUUCAUCUAGUAAUCGCUUACGUACAAUAUAAUAAGUGCGAGGAAAGAAACGACGAACUGUCACAGGAUGCCCGCUCAGUGACACGUACGGUUAGUUUACGCACUGCAAUUCACUGAAGUAGCGCAGUGUUGGAGAGUGGAAGGAAACUGGAGGAUCUGCCAGAAAGCCAGACACACACAGGGGCAGCAUGCAAACUCCACACACGGAGAGCACUGGUGUGUGGCGACAGCGAGAUCCAUCGUGCCGACCCCAGCGUGCAGGAUGUGUGAUGUGGAAAGAAGGA